GACGAACGCUGGCGGCGUGCUUAACACAUGCAAGUCGAACGGUGAAGCGCUUGCCUUUUUGGUGGGUGUGGAUGAGUGGCGAACGGGUGAGUAACACGUGAGUAACCUGCCCUCUUCUUCUGGAUAACCUCAUGAAAGUGGGGCUAAUACGGGGUAUUCCGGGUCUGUCGCAUGGCGGGUUUGGGAAAGAUUGCGCCUUUGGGUGUUUUCGGUGGGGGAUGGGCUCGCGGCCUAUCAGCUUGUUGGUGGGGUGAUGGCCUACCAAGGCGGUGACGGGUAGCCGGCCUGAGAGGGUGGACGGCCACACUGGGACUGAGACACGGCCCAGACUCCGGCGGGAGGCAGCAGUGGGGAAGAUUGCACAAUGGGCGCAAGCCUGAUGCAGCGACGCCGCGUGAGGGAUGGAGGCCUUCGGGUUGUGAACCUCUUUCGCCAGUGAAGCAGGCCUGCUCCUGUGUGGGUGGGUUGACGGUAGCUGGAUAAGAAGCGCCGGCUAACUACGUG
This 504-nucleotide ribosomal RNA is filed under the name uncultured bacterium. RNAcentral's name for it is "partial 16S ribosomal RNA". It matches the Rfam family "Bacterial small subunit ribosomal RNA", at positions 28 to 507 of the family's 1533-position model. The record is from RNAcentral.